UGCAUCGGCCGGGAUCGAACCCGGGGCGUCCGCGUGGCAGGCGAGCAUUCUACCAUUGAACCAAAAGC
Molecule: transfer RNA, 68 nt
Filed under: Cordylochernes scorpioides
Lineage: Eukaryota; Metazoa; Arthropoda; Arachnida; Pseudoscorpiones; Chernetidae
Description: tRNA-Gly
Source: RNAcentral